This 347-nucleotide ribosomal RNA is filed under the name uncultured bacterium. Its description in RNAcentral is "bacterial SSU rRNA". It matches the Rfam family "Bacterial small subunit ribosomal RNA", at positions 8 to 334 of the family's 1533-position model. The record is from RNAcentral.
AGGGUUUGAUUCUGGCUCAGGACGAACGCUGGCGGCGCGCCUAACACAUGCAAGUCGAACGGAGCUUGCUUGUCAGAUCCUUUCGGGGUGACGAUUUGUAAGCUUAGUGGCGAACGGGUGAGUAACACGUGAGUAACCUGCCCCAGAGUGGGGGACAACAGUUGGAAACGACUGCUAAUACCGCAUAAGCCCACGGAACCGCAUGGUUCAGAGGGAAAAGGAGCAAUUCGCUUUGGGAUGGACUCGCGUCCGAUUAGCUAGAUGGUGAGGUAACGGCCCACCAUGGCGACGAUCGGUAGCCGGACUGAGAGGUUGAUCGGCCACAUUGGGACUGAGACACGGCCCAG